UGUACUUAGUGCUUCAUCCCUUGUUUCCUGAUGUGUCUUCCUAUCUAAAUAUCUUAUGUUUUAAUGUACUUUCUAUUCCUUUCCUCAAAUACGUUAUAGAUCAAAGGAGAUCCGUAAGCCAGCAUCUAUCUAAACUCUAUAUUAUCUGAAAUAGGUUCCAGGACAAUUCUUUCAAAACCAAAACAAAACUGAGUUCCUUGAAAAAUAAAGGCUGUAUAUGACUCGGUGGUAAAUAUUUCCGUAACAGGUGUAAAGGAGACAGUGUUUGCUUCCAGAGCUGUGACGUGACUGGCAGAACGAACAUAGGCUAUGCACCAGUAAAUCUCAAACUCUGAAUGAUAAGGUAUUCAGUUUCUAAGAAAUCAUGAUUAAGCUAUGCAUGCCUGGAACAGAGAAGAGGAAUCAACAUGAGAUUUCAUGACCCAGUUGACUCUUCCUUCAGUAUGUAUCCACAAAUGGUAUUAAGAAAAAAAAUUGGGAUAAAAUUGAACGAGAUUUGA
RNAcentral lists this long non-coding RNA (500 nucleotides) under Mus spicilegus (steppe mouse). RNAcentral describes it as "lncRNA (ENSMSIG00000001267.1)". The record is from RNAcentral. Lineage: Eukaryota; Metazoa; Chordata; Mammalia; Rodentia; Muridae.